GGCGUUCCUGUCGGUUCCGAGCCGCGGCGCUGCGGUCGGAGCCGCGGCUUCGGGACACCCGGGCGGUUCGCCGCGAAGUUCCGUUCCCGCUUUACUUUUUUAAUUAUCUCGUGUGAGAUAUUGAGGACGCAGCAUCCCGACCGUCCCAUCCAGGACAGCAGGGCGGUGCCGGGCUGGCGCUGGGGGGUUACAGCCUGCUGAGCUGCCGGCCUCGCCUCUCCUAAUGGCUGUGAGUGCUUUCAUCCACAAAUCCGUGGUUCUCACAUCAGUGCUGUACGACCUUCGGACAGCUGCUCAAACUGUCGCUCGGAUGCACAUUCUCUCAUACAGCCGUGGGCACAAACCUGCUCGGGGUGCUCUUCUUCCUUCUCUGAUACCCGUUGACACCCCCACAGGUUUCAGACCUGAGUUGUGUUACAGAAGUCCCGGCUCUCUUGUCACUUAUUUAUUGGUUUGUUAAACAGAAUCACAUCAGCUGCUGCGGAGCCAAGAAGUGGUUUAAAAUUUUAUCACAGAACUCUCGCUUUCCUAGGAGAAGACAUGGUAGAACUAAUUUUACCUUCGUUUCUCAAGGAAGCGGGGAGUAAAGCAGCAGUGGAAGCAGCGCAGUCAUUGUUCAGAACAGGCCUUAUUCCUGUAGAGCAUUACACGUUAGUAAGCACAGUACUUUGCAGGAUCGGCUGUGGGAAAGGUUAGCUUGGAAAGCUGUUAAAACUUAACUAAGACUGCUUGACAGUCCGUUAAGAGGAGCUAGUAUGGCAGGGUAACUCUGGGAUGUCUCAUAGUACAAGCCCAAAAGGACAUUCAGUGGUACUCAUAAAGUGGGAGUUCUGAAAAACAAUAGGUGGCGAGGCUUUUCCAAGCUACGUAAUUACAAUGAAACUAACUGCCAGAGGAAACCAUUCAGCAGCAUUCAAAGCGCGCAGAUAUUUGUAAGAACACAAAAAGCACCUACUGCAUUUGCAGCAGAAGCCAAGAAAGCAUUUUGAAGAUGCUGAAGCACGUGACUUGGUAAUCCGUAGGGAAUAAGAACCGUGCUUUUCUGUAUCCGCUGUGGUCUCGUGCCUGGUUCAGAGCAGGGGCAGGGGGUGCUGUUGGACCAGAAGGGUUGUGAGCUUUGUCACUUGUCGGGUGGGGACACAUGAAGUCAUACUGCUGAAGUUCAAAGGUCCGCCUGCUGUGACCCGUUCCCACUCACGAAGUGGGAGCGCGCUGCGUGUGCCACGAGGAGCUAAGCGGCGCUGCCUGCUGUGCACACGAGGCACUGGAAGCUCGGAAGGCACACUUGCUUCAGAAAAGGCUCUGUACUGACAAUGGCAGGUUCUUCCCUUGACAGUCAAUUGCAGGGACUGCCAGACUGAGAUAUUCUAGGUGCGUGUUUCUUCACUGAGACACUGAAGGAAAAAAAUCCGUCGUUGCCAGCCGUGUUGCACGUUGUUGAAGUGUUACCUUCUGUUAAUGUUCAUUUGAACGGCCGUUCUUCGUGACUUCCUUCCAACUCUUUUUGUUGUUCUCAAGUCUUGCUGGCCCGCUAGCUUUGUGCUCACUGAGAAGGACUUGUUUAGAGUCACUUCCUUGUUUGUCACAGAGGUUCCGUGUGCGUGAGCCCACCUCUUGGGAAGCUGCUCCAUACACCUGCCUUUAGGCGCCGUGUUUUUUACAGGGCUAACUUUCAUGGGUGUGAGAAUAGUUGCUUAAACAAAACAAUUCUUGUUUGGGUUAAAGUAUUUUAAAAUUAUCUAUUUCUAGUAUUUGUUAUUGCUCUUGCUUAUCUGAAGGGAAUACACUUUGUUCAGUAGGUGAACAGCCACGGACUUGACUUACUUGAGGAGCAGCUCGCAGGCUGUGCUUGCUCUGCAUGCCCAGACGUCUGCCAUGCAAUCUGCCUGUCCAGGAGCAGCUACAGACUUACUGUUCUGACUGCUUGCACUUAGCGAGGGAGCCAGAAUUCAUAUGGUGCUGUGCGCCUCUUCAGACACAAAGGCAAGCGUGAAUUUAAACCAACUGAAAUGUGUGUUUGAUUGAGCACAGAACAUCUUUGGGGUGUCUACAGCCACGGAACAAUCUGCCGGGGAUGAAAACACACAUCCUUCAGCAGUCGCUCCGAUUGCAGGAGGUUGAACUGUGCAGUGUCCAUACCGGCCAGCCAUCGGUGCUCCGUGGGAAGAGUUUGAUUUGGGUGCAGGGUCUGGGAGCGUUCCCGUUUCUGUACUGGCUCAAGUCCUUGCACACGUAUCAUAACCCUGUUUCUGUGUGUCUGAAAGUCGCAGUGUAAACCAGUAAAUAGGUAUAGUGCCCCCACUUUUUCUUUAAACCAGUGCUGUACUGGAGAAGCACGGUGUCCUUGGUGCUGCAGUCAGCCAGAAGGCUGUAGCUGUUGCAGAACGCUGCACUGUUUCUGCACGGAGGUACAGGCUGUUGGAAGCACUCAGCCUUACUUCUUCUGCUUGGGAAGGAGUGAAGUUGAGGGUGGCGGUGAGUUCUCCGCAUACCACAAGUACACACACACGUGUUUAUUCAGGCAAAUCCGCCAGAGUCUGAAGUGAGCAGUAAGUGGUUGUGUGUGCAGAGGAGCCGAGGGGUGCCAGCUUUCUGUAGCUGCACCAGAAAGUGGCAGAUAAAGAGCUGGCUCCUCUUCCUUGUCUGUAUCGGCUUCGCCUCGGGCAGCUCGGACAGCAGAGCACGUGAGGGCUUUGCUUCAGCCUUGUAUAGCAGAGUUUUCGGGAUUUGAUUGCUUGUGCAGGGAGUCUGUUGCAGAUAUAAUUAAACUGAAGCAGAAGUGCAUGACAACCUGUAUGCAGCCUAGCCAACCCUGUGUGUUUGCCAGGCAAAUCGUGCUGCGAAGCACUGAAAACAUGUAAUCUUCUAUUGCAAAGUGCUCGCUUACAAGAGUUCUUUUGUUCUGUAGCCUUGCGUUUUUCACUGUUUAUGAUUUUGUCUGUAUGAAAAUGUAAACUCUUACCAUUCAAUAAAAUAUGUAACUCAUUAGUUACUUAGUGUCCAUUUUUGUCUUGUCGCUUCAGUCUGAAAAUAACUUAAGCAGAAUGCCCUUUGAACUCUGACAGUUCUGAAAAACGUGGUUCUGUUUGUCAGGUGGAAGCCAUCGCUUUGGGUUUCCUACUUUUCAAGGAAGUCAGGUUCAACAGCCAGUCUUUGCUUUUGUGGGAUCCAUGGAGCUUGGAGAAAGCUUUGGGAAAAGCUGCCUACUGAAAAUCCAUAAAUAGAAUUGGGUGGUUGGAACUAACUAGAAUAAAUUCAGUAUUUCUUUGACUGUUCACGGUAGGUACUUGGAUUUCUCACUUGUUGAAAUCAUCCGUCAGGCUUGGCAGGAAGGUCUCCGGCUGGCUGUUAAUUGUUUUCCUUUGGUUACUUACAGGAGUACCUGGAAUUCAUGUCAGUGCAGUGGUGAGGCUUUUCCCGCUCUGCAGGACAGACACCACUCUCAUUUCAUGCUUAACAGAUUUGAAAACUGAAUUAAAUCAUCUUAAGAGGAAAGCUUGAUCUCUUCUCCACCCUUUUUCGGGCCAGGGGAGGAGAGGAGGAAAGGAAAAUAGCCGUGGCAGAGAAGGUGAGCUGGGUCCUGGCGGCUGUUGUUUUCCCUCGUUUCAACAUGCUGAAUUUCCACCAGCUUCAAAUCCCAUCUAUGUCUCGGAGGUGUGAGAGCACUCAUAUUUUAAAGGGAAGCACAGAUAUUUUUUUCUCUGAUAUUUACCAGAAUUGAUUUGAGCUGUCUGUAAUGGAGUAACAGUUGCCCAAGCUCUGAAAAUUCCUAUCCUAUUUGUAUGCUAAUAUCUCUUCAAGUCAGAUUUCUCUUUGGGGCUGGGCAUAAAACAAAGUACUGCAAUCUCUCACCGAGCAAAAAUGACUUAGGAAUAUGUAUUUUCUCAGUUUAACCUUGAGCGAAAUAUUUUUGGCAUCAGAACAUUCAUUUCCGUGGAGUUGUGAGUGCUUUUAAAAUACAGCUUUGUAUAAUUGGGCUUUUACAGGUUUGGUUAUUUAUGCAAAGCGGAGAGGUGCUUCGUUCUUUUCUGUCUUUGCAUUUGAAAUCUUUAGGAAAUGGGACAGUUGCAGGGAUUUUCUUGGUCCUUGGUCUGCUGUCAGCUCUGCGUGUUCGAGGAACUUCCUCACGUGGCUGUUACACAUUAGGUUGUAUCUGUACUGUGCUUUGAAGCCGUAAAGUGUUGUUACUCUUAAUUAGACUGCUAGAGAUCCCUGUACUUAAAUAUGGAUGCAGAUAGCUCACAAGCAUUCUGUUGUCGUCCCCCUUUUGCACUGGAUGCCAGGAGCUGGGCUUUGCAUCUCGUCCCUCAAGAAGGGCAGCACUCCAGCAUGCUGAGCUCCCAGCCUGCCCGUGUUCGGCUCAGCUCUGCAGCUCCUGCAGUUCUACUGCCGUCUGGAGGCUGGGACAACAGAAGUACUGCAGGCAGUUUUGAACACCAGCUCACCCCCACAACUUCUUGGUUGACAUCAGAACUCCUUCAGGCAGUGUGGAAGUGCAGGCAUUUCUUACUCCCUUUCUGCCCUGCGACCUGGCAGCCAUUGUGGCCAUUACUGCCUUGGGCUUUUGAAAUGGAGAGAAGAAAGCAGAGAAGGGCUGAAUUGUGUGGAGGGCUUCCAGGUAAGUGCUGGAAGCCAUUUCUUGUAUGCUUGAGACUUUUAUAAAACACUCAUUUCUAUACUUUUGUUUUGUUUUGCUUGUUUCCAAGCUUUACUUUUAUAAAAGCUGUUUUAAUUCUUAUCCCCACUUGGCUGAAGUGCCUGCAUUGGAUGAGCACAAAGGAGGAGCAGUUCCCUCUGCUACGGGAGUUGGAGCGUAGAUCGGGGACUUCGGGUGCUCCAUACCCACAUGUCCUCUGAUGGGAGAUGAUAAGGAAUUUGAGGCAGAGGCACUUUCUCCUCCAAACGCAGUGUCCUCUUCAACUAUAAAAUGUAAAUGUUUUUCACCUUUUAAAAUAUGGGAUGUUUUUAAGAAAAAAUGCAACAGUUGUCCACCAGUGUCUCACAAGUUAAUAUAGGUUGUUCAGAUGUAGCCUGGGGCAAAACACAGAUUUUUCUCAUUGCAUCUGAAUAAAGCUUUCUCUUUUUCCCUUAGAUCUCAAAUCAGUAGGAAACCCAUUUUUCAAUGAAUAAACAUCUCUUGGUUUGGUGUGUGUUUGCAGGGCUGUGGUAGGUACAGCUGUUACUCUUUAUGAACCUGAGUAAGUGGAGAAAAAGGAAGAAACUAAUCAAAACUCAGUGUACAAAAACUAGAACAACUGAACUAACUUUUGCUUUCUAGUAGAGUUUCUAGAUACAGCCCUGUUCCCACCAGCACGGCCGGGAGCUCAGCGUUGUUGGCACAGUGCUCAUCUUCACCACGCCUCCUCACCUCUUAACAGGGACGAUGCUGAGCACUCAGCACUGCAAGAUGGCAAGGUGAAGCGAAGCACUUGGAAGUAUGUAUGAAAGAGGGAUGCGAGUUUAUGAGAAGCUAGGAUGAGGUUUGUUGGUCUCGUGAGCUGCUUUUCAGGAGAAGACUCCUUCCAUGCACUGCCAUGUGGACGAAAAGCUGCUCAUACACAAGCCUUAAAAAGAGAACUCGAGGAGCUGCACGCUGCUCUAGCUGUCUGGAAGCACUGCUCAAACAACAAGAUCUGGGCUGGGCCAUCAUUUAAAGCUAGCCAUACCUAGAUGUCUGUCUUCAAUAUGAAUUGGAUGUCCCAAGUCCUCUAGAGCAGUGGCUCCCAGCUGGUGAAAGGAAAGGCACGGAGCAGGAGGUCAGUGCUGCAGGUGUGAAGGAAAGGGGUGGCUCCAGGGAGGGGAGGGGGAGGCACAGCAACAGAAAGCUGCGGCGCUUCGCUGCAUCCAGCAGUGGUGCAGUUCAGAAGAGAUGGGAAAGGGCAGUAAGGCAGAACUGCAGGCCUGAAGGAGAAAAGGGGAUGAGGUGGGGGUACGGGGCUACCUGCUGAGGUGGGGAAGCAGCCACGUGCCUGCAUGGGAGGGGAGAUGGUGUAGAAAACAGCUGUAAUGAAGCCACAAAAAAAAAAAAGAAAACUGCUCUAAAAACAUUGGUACUUUCCCAAAAGAACACAGACUUUUUUUCACUCAAGUGGAACUUGUUUGACAGAAAUAAAAUAAAUAGAAAUAAAAUUCUUUAAACAUCAGACCACUUAAUAACGAAGGAUAGAGUGCCUAGUGACCUAAAUCAGAUUCCUUAAAAGGAUUCCCAUGAGGAUCAAACCGUGCGUCUGUACGGGCUCCACUUCAGUGAAAUACUCUCCCAAAACGCUGGGGUAAAGCAAGCCUACAAUUCAUGCACACAGUGUGCUGCCCAUAAUAACAGGUUACUGACCUCAGUGUGUGUGUGGGCACUCACCAAGGGCAGUGUGGUUGUACACUUAUCCCUGUACACCUCCACAGUAACCUGUCUGACCAACAGUCUCACGGGCUUCAAGGCUGGAAACGCAGUGCAGGAACAACGUGCAAAGAGCCGGCCAGAGAAGUUUUUGUACAGCACAACACCAGAGAGCCUAUAGUGAGGGAUUCAAGGAGGAUUUUACAGUAGGUACAGUGUUGCCAAGUUAUUCUUGUGUAUCUGUUACAGUAGCUCAAGAGUUGCUGCCAAGGUUGGUCCCCACAUUCACACCAACUACACAGGUACUGCAUUUGAAGCUCACCUGUUGCUUAAAAAUAUCCAAGGGUGUAAUUGUCCUGAUAUGACAAGUAAGUAAAUUUGUAUGGCUUGCAGUAAGGUCCUCAUCUCACUCACUGCCCUGUGAGUUGGCUUUUAGCAAGCAGGUGUAACCACUACUGGUACGGCAGACUGUCCAGCUCCUGUGAAGGCCCACGUUAAUCUGAUUUUCAGGAGCCACAAUCACUGUGAUACGGCUGCAGAAGGAAACAAAAGAGCCAGAAGCCUCACAAACUUUAAACAAUUUAUUAGAACCCAUAUAUGUUGUUUUCAUUAGAAGAAUCAAGUUAACACCUAAUUCAGGGUGAAAUUACAUUUUAAGACCAAAAAAAAAAUGCAGUGCUUAAAUAAGGCAUUUACUGAUAACUGCUAUUCUUAGAGUCCUGGUACAGGUUUGUUCUUACUUUGUGGAGUUAGUAGGGAUUUAAUUCAGAGCAGGCUCAGCGUUUUAUUUUGAACUGGAAGGACAUCACACCAUGCAAAGGGCUGCUCCCCAUCUGCCUCUCAGACAUACGUAAUGAAGAACUCAAGCCUUAAACACCACCACCAGAGGAAAAAAAAAAACCAAACCGUUGGAAUGCAUCACCAGAAUCUGAUUUUUUAUUUCUUGGAUAUUUAAGACUCAUUAGCAGAAUAUGCCUGUAGCAAAAAUAACGUAGCAAAAAAAAUCAUGCAACUUUGAAAUGUAAAACGUCCACUGAAUGGGCAUCAAGCAAGACUGUUAUUUCAGAUUGGAACCUGAAUACA
Non-coding RNA from Meleagris gallopavo (turkey), 7417 nucleotides. Lineage: Eukaryota; Metazoa; Chordata; Aves; Galliformes; Phasianidae. The record is from RefSeq and is a predicted model, not a curated record.